Gossypium raimondii (Peruvian cotton) is the source of this 2743-nucleotide RNA transcript. It is a transcript of the gene named arabinosyltransferase RRA3, with no coding region annotated. The record is from RefSeq and is a predicted model, not a curated record. The transcript has 3 exons. Lineage: Eukaryota; Viridiplantae; Streptophyta; Magnoliopsida; Malvales; Malvaceae.
AAACAUAGCCAUCGAAAAUCUUGCUCGUGUUACACGGAAACUUUAACUCAUUUCCAUGAGCUCUAACAUUAGAUGGUGAGAAGGCGAGAAGAAGCACCAUAUUAAAAAACGAGGUUGGUCUAACGGUUAGCAAUAGAGAGCUGGAGUUAAGUGGUUUCAAAGUUGAUUUAAUUUCUAAAAAUCGAGUUUUGAAGAAAAUUGAGUGGGGAUUUGUGAAGAAGCCAUUGAGAGAAGCAUUUUGAUGCCUAUUUUCGCCGGAGAAGGAACAGUUGAGAUUCAAGAAAAAGGGAAAGGGUUAGAUCGUCCAUUGUUGCAGAGGAGGAAAGAAAAGAAAUAAAUUGAUCAAUAGUUUCGGAAAUAAUUUUUUAAUCAAAGAAAACAAUUCAGAAAUAGGAAAAGGAAAUAUUUUUUAAAAAAAUAUGUGGAAUAGUUUAACAUGUCACCUAAGAUAAAUAGUGUUAAUGACACUUAACAAUUGGAUGAUUAAUGUUAGUGAUAAUUUUAUAAAAUUUUGAAAGUUGGGUAGCUGAAAUGUAAUUUAAAUCAAAGUUUAGCUAUGGUUGUUGUAAUUCACCCUUAAUUAUAAUAUUGUUGUUUGAAAUAGUGUUGUUUAGUUUAAACUUGAAGAACACAACACCCCCACUUUGCUCUCUCGCCUUUCAAUAUUUCCAAAUUUACAGUUAAAAACACUGCAACCCCCCGCCCCCGCCCUACCAAAAAAAAUGAUAGGCGGACGAAGGGAAGGUGGGUUGAUGAGAAAGGCAUCGCAGUCAGUGGUGAAAUCAAGAAUAUUAAUAGCUGUUGCCAUUGGGAUUUCCAUUGGUUGCCUCUUCGCUUUUCUUUAUCCUCACGGUUUCCUCUCUUUCUAUUCCCCUGCUUUCCACUCCCAGGUUCUAUCUUCCAAAUGUGAGUCGUCUCAUAGGUUGAACGAGUUGAAAGCAGAGUAUGCGGCCGAAUUGGAGAAAAACGAAGAGUUGAGACAACAAGUUAAGGAGCUUACUGAAAAGGUUAGGUUGGCUGAACAAAAGAAAGAUCAUGCACAGAAACAAAUCGAGGCAUUGGGUAAAUGGCGUAAAGCGGGGCCUUCCGGAACCGUUAAAGGUUUAAGAACAAACCCCACGGUGAUUCCAGAUGAAUCCGUUAAUCCGAGAUUGGCGGUAAUUCUGGAAGCUGUUGCUGUCGGAAGAGAGCUUAUAGUGGCACUUGCAAACUGGAAAGUGAAGGAGUCAUUAGAGAUUUGGUUCACAAACAUUAAGAGAGUUGGCAUAACUAAUUAUUUGGUUGUUGCUUUGGAUGAUAAGAUCACUGAAUUUUGCAAGUCAAAUAAUGUUCCAGUGUUUACGAGAGAUGCAAAUGAUGGGAUUGCUUCCAUUGGGAGGACAGGGAAUAACCAUGCUGUUUCGGGAUUGAAAUUUCAUAUCUUGAGAGAGUUUUUGCAGCUGGGGUAUAGUGUUCUCCUUUCGGAUAUCGAUAUUGUGUAUUUGCAAAACCCUUUCGAUUAUCUUUAUAGAGAUUCAGAUGUGGAAUCCAUGACCGAUGGCCAUGAUAACAUGACAGCUUAUGGAUUCGAUGAUGUCUUUGAUGAACCUGCAAUGGGAUGGGCUCGAUAUGCACACACAAUGCGUAUAUGGGUUUUUAACUCUGGUUUCUUCUAUAUCAGACCUACAAUCCCUUCAAUCGAGCUCUUAGAUCGUGUGGCUGGUCGCCUUGCUAAGGAACCAAAGUCAUGGGACCAGGCAGUUUUCAAUGAGGAACUUUUUUUCCCUUCACAUCUCGGGUAUGAAGGGCUUCAUGCUGCUCGGAGAACUAUGGAUUUCUAUCUCUUUAUGAACAGCAAAGUCCUUUUCAAGACUGUGAGGAAAGAUGAUAGACUGAGUAAGCUUAAGCCGGUCAUUGUUCACGUAAAUUACCAUCCUAAUAAGCUCCAACGAAUGAAAGCUGUCAUGGAAUUCUACGUUGAUGGCAACCGCGAUGCAUUGAAACCUUUUCCCGAUGGUUCAGAAUGGGAAUGGUAAACUGUGCUUUACUCAUCACAACUUCACAAGUCAGCAACUGGUGCGAAAGACUCAUCCUGUAAAUGGCUCAAACCGAAGCAUAUUCAUUACACAGAUACGAGUACACACAUACACAAAAGAAAGGUGGUUCAUUCUCUUUAUUCCCUACUUGUGCAGAAAGUAAAAGCAACUACCCAAAGGGUUCCGAAAAAUGGGCGUAUAAACAAGUGGCAUGAUCGUAGUGGAUGUGUUAAUGUCAUUUCAAAUAAGAAAAUGAAGACCUUUGUGUAUAUGAAUGAGCGAACUACACAUUUUAUUAGACAAGUCUUUUGGUAUAUUCGGUUUUGAAUUAAUCGGCUAAUGGUUAAUGAUCAAAUAGAACUCACUUAUGGGAUUCAAUUAGUAUCAAAAUGAGCAAAGCCAGUGGAUGUAUUGGUAAAACAAUGAGAGUGCCUGAGGAGGAUGUAUAGUAAGAAAUUGUAGCUGCAAUGCAAUGCAAUGGUCGCAUUGUAACAGAAACGAACUUCUCCGAAUCGCAUCACGACUAUUGCGGUCAAAAUUCGUUACGUAACAGCCAAUAAAUAGUGGGACAACAUUGCAACAAUUUGUUACAAAGAUGAGAGAUCCGUAGGCAAGAAUGCAUUAAAGCAUAGCCACCCCAGUCUUUCCUAUCUCUAGGCAUUUUGUUGUAUCUGUAAUUUUUCAAGAAUCAACAAGUUUCGUAACCGAAUAUCAUAGUGUUAAAUUUU